AUACGGAGGGUGCAAGCGUUACUCGGAAUCACUGGGCGUAAAGGACGCGUAGGCGGGUUGUCAAGUCUGAUGUGAAAUCCUAUGGCUCAACCAUAGAACUGCAUUGGAAACUGGCAACCUAGAGUAUGGGAGGGGGAGAUGGAAUUAGUGGUGUAGGGGUAAAAUCCGUAGAUAUCACUAGGAAUACCGAAAGCGAAGGCGAUCUCCUGGAACAUAACUGACGCUAAGGCGUGAAAGCGUGGGGAGCAAACGGGAUUAGAAACCCCGGUAGUCC
This 274-nucleotide ribosomal RNA is filed under the name uncultured bacterium. RNAcentral describes it as "partial 16S ribosomal RNA". It matches the Rfam family "Bacterial small subunit ribosomal RNA", at positions 523 to 796 of the family's 1533-position model. The record is from RNAcentral.